CCUACGGGUGGCAGCAGUGGGGAAUAUUGGGCAAUGGGCGCACGCCUGACCCAGCAACGCCGCGUGAAGGAAGAAGGCUUUCGGGUUGUCAACUUCUUUUCUCAGGGACGAAGCAAGUGACGGUACCUGAGGACUAAGCCACGGCUAACUACGUGCCAGCAGCCGCGUUAAUACGUAGGUGGGACGCUUUAUCCGGAUUUACUGGGGGUAAAGGGCGUGUAGGCGGGACUGCAAGUCAGAUGGGAAAACCACGGGCUAAACCUGUGGCCUGCAUUUGAAACUGUAGUUCUUGAGUACUGGAGAGGCAGACGGAAUUCCUAGUGUAGCGGGGAAAUGCGUAGAUAUUAGGAGGAACACCAGUGGCGAAGGCGGGCUGCUGGACAGCAACUGACGCUGAUGCGCGAAAGCGUGGGGAGCAAACAGGAUUAGAUACCCUUGUAGUC
Molecule: ribosomal RNA, 443 nt
Filed under: uncultured bacterium
Lineage: Bacteria
Description: partial 16S ribosomal RNA
Rfam family: Bacterial small subunit ribosomal RNA
Source: RNAcentral